GAGUCAAGUAAAGUACAACACAGGACUUACGGGGUGGGGCGCGCCAAAGCAACCCGGGACCCACGGAGGGGUCACUGGGGAAGUGCUUUCUGCGCGGGUGCGUGGGAAGCACUUCAUUCUUCAAUUUAUUCCCCCCUUUGAGGGGGGGUAACUCCGGAGUGAAAGAGGUAAGGGAGAAGGCGUUGGUGACAAAGCCAUCUCGUCCGUCAAUUAACGAUGAAUAAGCCGUCACUCACUAGAAGGGCGAGGCAAUCCUUCCAUCUCCAAUCAUGUGGGGGAUGUAAAGACCAAAGUCAAAGUACUGACCCAAACGGGGUAUGGAUAUACAUAGAGGAAGCUAGCAGCACGUUAGAAAUCCACUUUUCUAAAUAGCUACCCGCCGAAAGGAAUACAAACAAGCAUUGAACCGUAAAGUGGUUCGACUGACGGGGAAUAAGGAGACAUUCAUCUGUAUUGUUAGAACAGAUCAACGGAAGCAUAUCGUGCCACCGGGGGUGACGGGAGCGCGCCGUACUGUAUGAAGGAAGGCAAGAUAGCUACCAAUGC
This 546-nucleotide long non-coding RNA is filed under the name Phoenix dactylifera (date palm). RNAcentral's name for it is "long non-coding RNA (PDAC_LNC020570)". The record is from RNAcentral. Lineage: Eukaryota; Viridiplantae; Streptophyta; Magnoliopsida; Arecales; Arecaceae.